Molecule: long non-coding RNA, 2282 nt
Organism: Zerene cesonia (dogface butterfly)
Lineage: Eukaryota; Metazoa; Arthropoda; Insecta; Lepidoptera; Pieridae
Exons: 2
Source: RefSeq, a predicted model, not a curated record
AUAUAUAUUUAUAUAUCUUUUUUAAUCAUGGGAGAAGUCCCAUGAUUAAAAAAGAAAUGCAUUUAAAAUAAAAAUACAAACAUUUCUCACUCUAUCACAAAAUAAGACAAGUACUAUAAAAUAGAAUGUAUUUGGUUCCUGUACGCAUCCUUUCAUGAACCGAAUCAAGUAGGUAUGCCCAAUGACCUUUGCCAUUUUUAAGUGUAAAAAAUAUAAGUUUCAAAUAACAUCAGUGCAAGCCAUGUAUCAAAAUAAACAUUUUUUUUUAAUGUUCCUGUUACGGAUUUGUCUUUAAUCUAGCAUUUUAAAUCGAAUCUAUUUUAGAUCUAUUAAAUCUAAUUCAAUAAGUGAAAUGUGUGACUUGGGAGCACAAAUGCGGAUCAAAAGUGUAGCCUUUUAUUUUGUGCCAAAUAUAUUCGAUUUUUUUUUUCGUAAUUGGCCAGUUACAGAUAAGGCAUAGCCGUACUGUCUGAUAUAUUUUUAUUCAGACGAAACAAAUAAAAAUGACAUAACAUGUGAAUACAGCUAAAUGUUGUUGUGUCAAUUGAUCAGUCGAACAACAAGAAUAGGAUUAAUAUAUAGUUAUAUUUGGUAAAAAAUGAAUAAUUUUUUACUUAAUUUUGGGCUGGAAUUAUGUCUCUCACUUUCAUAAACGACUAUAACCAAUUUAAAGGUUUAGUUUCCUUUAACCGUUUCAAGCACCAAAUAAAACAAAUUAUGGCGUAAAACAAUGUACAUACAUGUGUUAAAAUUUAAGAAUUUGUGAAGAGUGUAAAUUAAGAUUAGUAUGAAAGAGCAUAUUUUAAAACGAUAUUUUUAUGAACAACCAAAUGGGAUUGACAAAAUAUGGUGUACCAAGACAAUAUUAUGAAAUUGAACGAACCUAUAGAUAAUAUAUUAUUGUAUAGAUAACAUAACUACUUCCGAUAUAACGCAACAAACAAUAAGUUUCAUAAAUAAUUUGGAAUAUAGGUAGGGUAGUAUCCGUAAUGGAUUUCAUAACGUUAACACCAAAAUCGUUUGUUUAUAAUAAACGUGUUAAAUAUUUUUAUUAUAUGUGUGUGCGUAGUGCCUACUUAUUUUCAUUCAUAAAUAUUUUUGAUUUGAAUUUUUUAAUUCUUUCUUGUUAUUAUAACGUAGUUUCAGUGCUAAAUGGCCUUAGAUAUUCAACAAAUUAGUCACCUAACAAAAUUAUCUAUUUUACAGUAUUUGAAAUAGUUUUUAUUAAUAAGAUAAUUUAAAGUAUAUUAUGAAAACAAAUAAUAAUGUUUUUAUUGGAUCUUAACAAUUUUUGAUUAUUAAUAUACAUCGCAGUUUGCAUUAUCAAUUACCUGAUAUACCUAAAAGAAUAGACAACGGCGUUCAUCAAUGUAAUUUGAAAUGCUUGUUUCACGUUUAGUGUAGUUAUGUAUUAUUAAAUAGAUUCUUUUUUAAUGACAAUGUAUUUGCGAGACGUUUUUUAUAUGAAUAAAGGUUUGUUUGUCAAUGCAGAGGUAUAAAUGAAUUAUAACCAAGUUUUGGUCCAGUAAAUUUUGAAAGGCACUAAUUUUUCUAUUGAAACUUUUGUCGUUGGAAUUCAAAGAGCAUUUUAUUCUAUUUUAAAUAAAUAAAUACGAGCAUUUAUAGUUUAUAAAGACUGCCAUUUGAUUUUUUCAUUUUUAUUAUCUAUUCUGUGAUAAGGUUGCGUGUUUGCUGUUUGUGGUAUUUAGUCAUGUUUUGUCAGUUUUUUUCAUGUAUUGUAUAAGUGCAGCAAUUUUAUCUGGUCGGUAUUUUUUUAAGUGUUAAGACGGCGAUUAUCAUAAUUCCCUUUUUCGCGACCGAUAUUCUUGAAGAGAAAGAGAGAGGAAGCUGGAAAUAAACAGUUUUAUUUAAAUAAAGAACCCGGAUGUUGUUUUUACAUAGAUAAGUGACGUUCUAAAUUGCUGAUUGUAUCAGAGUUGUAUUUCGACAGUCCAGUUAUAUUUUUAAUGACGAAUUAACGAUGCAUUAAAAUGCUAUUAACAGAGCAAUUCAAAUAUCAAACCUACCCAUCAUACAACAUUCUUAAAGUUAAACCACAAUUAUGUUCGUGUAGUAAUUGAAGAAGGUACACAUAAUAUUGUAUGAAUUUUAUUGAUAAUAGACGCGUAGAUUUGAAUUAUUUCUAUAUUGUGUAAUAAUUGAAAUGAUUAGCGUUACAGUAUUAGAUUGUUUAGCAUUGGAUGCUUCCAUUGGUGUAAAUAAGAUUUACGUACUUUGUUAGAUAUUUAUCAUAAAGUGGAAAUAUAUUGAUUGGUCUGAUA